Molecule: ribosomal RNA, 468 nt
Filed under: uncultured bacterium
Lineage: Bacteria
Description: partial 16S ribosomal RNA
Rfam family: Bacterial small subunit ribosomal RNA
Source: RNAcentral
GACGAACGCUGGCGGCGUGCUUAACUCAUGCAAGUCGAACGGAAAGGCCCUGCUUUUGUGGGGUGCUCGAGUGGCGAACGGGUGAGUAACACGUGAGUAACCUGCCCUUGACUUUGGGAUAACUUCAGGAAACUGGGGCUAAUACCGGAUAGGAGCUCCUGCUGCAUGGUGGGGGUUGGAAAGUUUCGGCGGUUGGGGAUGGACUCGCGGCUUAUCAGCUUGUUGGUGGGGUAGUGGCUUACCAAGGCUUUGACGGGUAGCCGGCCUGAGAGGGUGACCGGCCAAAUUGGGACUGAGAUACGGCCCAGACUCCUACGGGAGGCAGCAGUGGGGAAUAUUGCACAAUGGGCGGAAGCCUGAUGCAGCAACGCCGCGUGCGGGAUGACGGCCUUCGGGUUGUAAACCGCUUUCGCCUGUGACGAAGCGUGAGUGACGGUAAUGGGUAAAGAAGCACCGGCUAACUACGUG